GCGAAAUUAUCAAAAAAGUUCCAAUAUUUUAGGAAAAGUUUCACGUCAAUACAAAAUUUUGUUUUUCGAAUAAAAUAAUCCUGAUUAUUAGAUUUUACAUGAUAAUAUGUAUUUUUCCAUUAAAAGAAAAAAAUUGUUAAUUUCAGUCAAAAUAAAAUAAUGAGAACUUUUCUGUUCAAAAACAAAAUUUGAAACCAAAAUGAAACUUUUCUAAAAGUGUUAGGAUUUUUCUGAAAAUUUUUCAAUUUAAAUUUUCUUGCUUUUUAUUAUUUUAUUUUAUUUUGAGUAAAUUGUAACCUAUCAAAUUUUAAAUUUAGGGAUGAAAAUUGGAAUUUUGACAAAAUCUUAGGGACCAUUUCUGUAAUUUACUCAUUUAUUUUUUUGAAAACGAGGACAGCUUCCACUUCCACGGUUCCACUUAACCUUCUAGCCCUAGCUCUCAGGCGAUUUCGGCGAUCCCACGUCCGGUGCUUCCUUCUCAUCCUCGGUGCUGCGUUCACCUCCGGCAACCAAAUUUUGAUUUGAUCUUCUAGUUGUAGAUUUUCGUUGUGAAUUGUUUUUAAUUUUUUUGUUGAUGGUUAGUCCAGCAGAGUCGCGAAUGAGAGCUGCCUCUAAAAGAAGGGUACUGAAAUCAAACGAAAUCGAUAUCAAGGCAGAUAAGGCAUUUGAGCAUCGAAAAAAAUGUGUUAGACAUCGUUCAUUUUCAUCUUUAGAUUUCAUCGAGAAUCAUGUAAGACCUUUCUCCCUGUUCCCAAUUUUACUAGACAUUUGGAUGUCGUGACUGAUUUUGGGAGUCUAAUUUCGUGAUUGAGAGUGAGGGUAUUUCGAAGUUGAAUGAUGUGAUUUUUAUUUAUUUAUUUAUUUUAAAUAGAUUUCCUUCUUACACAAUAUACCUCUGUCUUGUGUGAUUUCAUUAUACUGUUAAGCCGUAAUUCGUAUUUUCACAUGAUUAUGUUCGGUUUUAUAUUUGUUACAGGAAGGAAAUUUGUACUCUGGCUGUUGCAACCAUGUUUCAUUUUUAGGCCCUUUGGCUAUUGCAAAAUCCCAACAUUUUGAAUUUUACAGAGCUAGAUUAAUUUAGUUAUUUGAUCAUUACCAUGUUCAAGUCAGCAGGAGGAUGCUUAAAAAAUUGUUUUGGAAAGUAACAAAUUAUGUUGCUCAGCACAUUUCCAAGGACACUUGAUAUUGUUAAAACGUGUGUUGCAGCUGACAGGUUGAGCUUGUGGGUUGUUAGAUUCCUGAAUAUGGAUUAAUUGCGGAUGCUAAGAACAAGUGGGUUAGCAGUUCUUGCAGAAAAAAGCUAAUUGUCCAGAAGAAGUGAAAUGACUUUGACAGGAUCAAGAUCAUGUUGGCAAAGAUAAAGAUAACUUAACUUUCAGUUUGCAGUUUUAAACAUUGAAUAAAUACCCAACUGUUUCUAGAAUAUGGUUUUUCAUUCAUGCCUAUUUGGGAUGAUUUUUUUUUCUUUAAUCGGCUCUAUUUGAUGUCAAAACACUUAUUUUUGUAGUGAAGUUGCAUCUUUUUUCCAAUGUAUGCAACAAAAUUGGAGUUUUUUGCCUAUGUGUGUAGCCAUUAUUCAUAUUGAUACAAGUUUAUGUUAUUGUUUACUAAA
Molecule: non-coding RNA, 1612 nt
Organism: Lactuca sativa (garden lettuce)
Lineage: Eukaryota; Viridiplantae; Streptophyta; Magnoliopsida; Asterales; Asteraceae
Source: RefSeq, a predicted model, not a curated record